AAUGUGAUUCGCGCCGUUUUAGAAUUUUAUAAAAUUCUUACCGAGAAGAUGAAUCAACUCAACACAAUUUCUCAAGGAAACUACAAAAUGGCCGACACAGAAAGGCACAUGCCGUAGCUCAGUGCAUUGUGGGUCGUAGAAUUCAUUAAUAUAAUAAACAGAAAUACAAGAAAUUGAAAAGUCUUAGAGAAGAAUGAGAUUAAGAAACAAAAGACUGUACAGAAUCUUCUAGAUAGCAUAUCGAACGUUAUGAUUCUUUGAUAAAUCACUCUUGAAAGGCUGAAGUAUAAUACAAACAUGUACAUAAAUGUGUAUAUACAGAAUUUCGUAACCUUUUUUCGUUGUAAAUUCAAAGCACCUUGAACGUUAAAAAUUGCAAAAAACGAGGAGGGUCAAAUUUGUACUAAUAAUAAUAUUCCCACUGUAUAACAUCUAAUAAUAAUAAAAAAAGAGUAAAAUAUAAUGUUAUAUUACAGUUACAUCUCGUUAAACGAUACCGAUCGUCUUUUUUGUCGAUCACUAUUUGUAAGGUGAAAAUAUUAAGCUGAAUCUAACCUGCGUACGUGUUCACGUGUAUGUAAAAAAUGUAUCGACUUGCGUGUAAACGUUGCAACAACCGGAACUUACAUAUUUUUAUUGUUAGAGGAAUAAUUUAUUUAUUAAAAUUACCUUAUGUAUUACGAAUUACAUAGUACAAUUGAAAUUAUUAAACAAAUAUCAAGUUUACAAACGUUACAGUAAAUGUUUCAUUGUAUAUAAAUAUUAAUAACAUAUUCGUUAUUUCUCAAUAAGUCUUGUAAAUGUUUGUUAUUGAAAUUCUCAAUAACUACUUAUUUCUAUUUUAUUACUAUAAUUAAAUUAGUAAAAGAUAGGAAGUAAGAUUCAAAGUCGAAAAACUGGUGAAUUACCAUUUAUUUAUUUAGAACAGCCACAUUUUUAUUGGAAACAAUUGAUCUAAUGUUGUCAAUACUGCAUUAAAAAGGAAAAAAUUGGCAAUUCUCCCUAAAAAAUAUUCAUUACAAUAAAAGAUCAUCCUUUCAAUAAAUAAUACAAUCAAUGCGGAAUCAAAGGCACAAAACUUGCAAGUUGAUAAUAUAAAAUCAGGUCUGUUACCUUAGUGUAUAAAGAAAACAAAGCAUUCAGCAUUACACACAAUAAGCCAAUAUGCAGCCUAAAACAAUUGUUUUUAAUCUCUCUCUGAAUACGUCUAUAGCGCCGAGAUACAUACUACCUAAUUCCAAAAAGAAAA
Hylaeus anthracinus is the source of this 1249-nucleotide long non-coding RNA. RefSeq lists it as uncharacterized. The transcript is spliced from 3 exons. Lineage: Eukaryota; Metazoa; Arthropoda; Insecta; Hymenoptera; Colletidae. The record is from RefSeq and is a predicted model, not a curated record.